GACGAACGCUGGCGGCGUGCCUAAUACAUGCAGGUCGAACGCACAGUUUAUACCGUAGCUUGCUACACCAUAGACUGUGAGUUGCGAACGGGUGAGUAACGCGUAGGUAACCUGCCUGGUAGCGGGGGAUAACUAUUGGAAACGAUAGCUAAUACCGCAUAAUAUUAAUUAUUGCAUGAUAAUUAAUUGAAAGGUGCAAUUGCACCACUACCAGAUGGACCUGCGUUGUAUUAGCUAGUAGGUGAGGUAACGGCUCACCUAGGCGACGAUACAUAGCCGACCUGAGAGGGUGAUCGGCCACACUGGGACUGAGACACGGCCCAGACUCCUACGGGAGGCAGCAGUAGGGAAUCUUCGGCAAUGGACGAAAGUCUGACCGAGCAACGCCGCGUGAGUGAAGAAGGGUUUCGGAUCGUAAAGCUCUGUUGUAAGAGAAGAACGGGUGUGAGAGUGGAAAGUUCACACUGUGACGGUAUCUUACCAGAAAGGGACGGCUAACUACGUG
This 505-nucleotide ribosomal RNA is filed under the name uncultured bacterium. RNAcentral describes it as "partial 16S ribosomal RNA". It matches the Rfam family "Bacterial small subunit ribosomal RNA", at positions 28 to 507 of the family's 1533-position model. The record is from RNAcentral.